AUAGGAACUAAAACCUGCCGCUCUGAAGGUGCCAGUGUUGGUGAGGGAAUUUAUCAAUGUGGAAUGCUCAUCACCUCAUAGGGAAGAUCUGAACCAAGUGAAUGCAAGGAUUUUUUGGCAAUGUCUAGCUCAAUCUCACCUUCGAGAAAAUGUAAUAUUUUUCCUCCGGAGUUAGUCUAAACUAUCCAGGUUGUAUGCUACUACUGAGAUCCCAUCAAGGAUGAUCUGAAGCACUCAAAAGAAGCGAAGGGCAGAAGAAGCUUCGUUUCUCAUUGAUGUUAUGUGUGAUCAACUAAAAUUUGGCCAUCUCGUCCAACUUUGUAGAACUAUGUUGUUGUGCACCUGUGCACUUGUUGGGUCUUUUUGCUGUGCACUUGACUUGUAGCAUUAUUUUGCUGUGCACUUGUUGG
Molecule: long non-coding RNA, 410 nt
Organism: Triticum urartu
Lineage: Eukaryota; Viridiplantae; Streptophyta; Magnoliopsida; Poales; Poaceae
Source: RefSeq, a predicted model, not a curated record